Molecule: ribosomal RNA, 253 nt
Filed under: uncultured bacterium
Lineage: Bacteria
Description: partial 16S ribosomal RNA
Rfam family: Bacterial small subunit ribosomal RNA
Source: RNAcentral
UACGGGGGGGGCAAGCGUUGUUCGGAAUUACUGGGCGUAAAGGGCUCGUAGGUGGCCAACUAAGUCAGACGUGAAAUCCCUCGGCUUAACCGGGGAACUGCGUCUGAUACUGGAUGGCUUGAGAUUGGGAGAGGGACGCGGAAUUCCAGGUGUAGCGGUGAAAUGCGUAGAUAUCUGGAGGAACACCGGUGGCGAAGGCGGGUCUCUGGGCAGUAACUGACGCUGAGGAGCGAAAGCGUGGGUAGCGAACAGG